This 464-nucleotide ribosomal RNA is filed under the name uncultured bacterium. RNAcentral's name for it is "bacterial SSU rRNA". It matches the Rfam family "Bacterial small subunit ribosomal RNA", at positions 339 to 793 of the family's 1533-position model. The record is from RNAcentral.
GUACGGGAGGCAGCAGUGGGGAAUUGUUCGCAAUGGGCGCAAGCCUGACGACGCAACGCCGCGUGGAGGAUGAAGAUCUUCGGGUCGUAAACUCCUGUCGACCGGGACGAAAUUCACGGGAGCUAACAUCUCUCGUGGUUGACGGUACCGGUGGAGGAAGCCCCGGCUAACUCCGUGCCAGCAGCCGCGGUAAUACGGGGGGGGCAAGCGUUGUUCGGAAUUACUGGGCGUAAAGGGCUCGUAGGCGGCCGCACAAGUCCGACGUGAAAUCCCUCGGCUCAACCGAGGAACUGCGUCGGAAACUAGGUGGCUUGAAUCCAAGAGAGGGAUGCGGAAUUCCAGGUGUAGCGGUGAAAUGCGUAGAUAUCUGGAGGAACACCGGUGGCGAAGGCGGCAUCCUGGAUUGGCAUUGACGCUGAGAGAGCGAAAGCCAGGGGAGCAAACGGGAUUAGAUACCCCGGUAG